This 273-nucleotide unclassified non-coding RNA is filed under the name uncultured fungus. RNAcentral's name for it is "sequence contains ITS2". Lineage: Eukaryota; Fungi. The record is from RNAcentral.
AACGCACCUUGCGCCCCGUGGCUUUCCACGGGGCACGCCCGUUCGAGUGUCACGUUAACCCUCGCCAACCGGACAGUAAUGUUUCGGGGAAGCGGAUUUGGACGCUGCCGGUCGUGAGAUCGGCUCGUCUCGAAAUGCAUUAGCGGAGUGAGACGCAAGCGCGACGUUGAUAAUCGUCUACGCCUCGUGAGCGUCGAGCCUCGCUCAUAAUCGCCGUGAGGCAAUUUUUCACAGUUUGACCUCGAAUCGGGUGGGACUACCCGCUGAACUUAA